This is a non-coding RNA of Paramuricea clavata, 391 nucleotides long. NCBI's taxonomy places the organism in Eukaryota, Metazoa, Cnidaria, Anthozoa, Malacalcyonacea, Plexauridae. The record is from the annotation of a GenBank genome assembly.
GUACCUAGAGACCAGGCUGUGAUUGUAAUAACCAGUGUGGUUUGAAUGUUAGAAUUUGAACCAUAGGGGUUUAGAAAUAGGACAAGACAUCUCGAAAGUGCUUGGAUAAGCAGCUGGAAGCUCAGCAUUAUAAAAGGUGCUCGUUUAUGUCCGUCGUUUCGCCGGUAAAUUGAUUGUGCGAAGAAGAAUAGGAAAUAUGCUCCGGCGAUCGUCCAAAUACUUGCAAAGAGGUAGACGUGUAUUGGCCAAAAUACCCCCCAAGUUGACUUCGCCUCUGGCCAAUUUGGGCCUGGCUCGGGCCAAGAAGGUUUUGCCAUUUUGUCUUCUGAGCUAGCCUUCUUAGCUACAAAUGAAAAAUAUAAAAGAGAAUGAUUAAGUGGAGGCAAUUGCC